UCAGACCCGUGGCAAAUAGCUCAGUAGCACGUGGCCAAUCUACCCUCCGGAUCAGCACACCCUCGGGAAACUGAGGCCAAUUCUGUAUACGGCUCCCGACCUGGAAUGGUGGGAGCCAGAAACGUUCCGGCGCCGGAGGAUGAGGCUGCGGCCGAUUAGGUUGACGGUGGGGUAAUGGCCCACCGUGCCGAUAAUCGGUCUGGGUCAUGAGAGUGAGAACCCAGAGACGGACUCUGAGACAAGAUUCCGGGCCCUACGGGGCGCAGCAGGCGCGAAACCUUUACACUGCACGCCAGUGCGAUAAGGGGACCCCAAGUGCGCAGGCAUAGUGCCUGCGCUUUUCUGGACUGUAGGGCGGUCCAGGAACAAGGGCUGGGCAAGACCGGUGCCAGCCGCCGCGGUAAUACCGGCAGCCCAAGUGAUGGCCGCUGUUAUUGGGCCUAAAGCGUCCGUAGCUGGCUGCGCAAGUCCGUCGGGAAAUCCACUCGCCCAACGAGUGGGCGUCCGACGGAAACUGCACAGCUUGGGACCGGAAGGCUCGAAGGGUACGUUCGGGGUAGGAGUGAAAUCCCAUAAUCCCGCACGGACCACCGAUGGCGAAAGCACUUCGAGAAAACGGAUCCGACAGUGAGGGACGAAAGCCAGGGUCUCGAACCGGAUUAGAUACCCGGGUAGUCCUGGCCGUAAACGAUGCUUGUUAGGUGUGACUCCCACUACGAGUGGGUGUUGUGCCGUAGGGAAGCCG
Molecule: ribosomal RNA, 745 nt
Filed under: uncultured archaeon
Lineage: Archaea
Description: bacterial SSU rRNA
Rfam family: Archaeal small subunit ribosomal RNA
Source: RNAcentral